Ursus americanus (American black bear) is the source of this 332-nucleotide unclassified non-coding RNA. The record is from Ensembl. Lineage: Eukaryota; Metazoa; Chordata; Mammalia; Carnivora; Ursidae.
AAAAGGAGACAUAAAAUUCAACUUUUGCUACCCAUUCUUUCCCUUUUUGCUUUCCACAUAAUUUAGCUGGGAAUUUUUAUAUGUGUAGUAUUUAUUUUGUGUUAUCCUCGUUAUUAUAAAGUUAUCUAAGAGGCUAGGAGAGCUGACCGACAGAAGGGGAAAAAAAGCAGUUAUUCUGACUGCAGUGACCAAAGGAGUUCAAGUCACACCAACAUCUUUCUCCCAUUUAGAAGCAUUCUAGUAUUUAAGGCCUUCUACUAUAAGCCCCUUACUAGUUCUUUUCCUUUCUAUUUCAUUUCUUUCUACUCUCAUAUUUGUGUUUUCUGUUCCUA